UACGUAGGGUGCGAGCGUUGUCCGGAAUUAUUGGGCGUAAAGAGCUUGUAGGCGGUUUGUCGCGUCUGCUGUGAAAAUCCGGGGCUCAACCCCGGACUUGCAGUGGGUACGGGCAGACUAGAGUGUGGUAGGGGAGACUGGAAUUCCUGGUGUAGCGGUGAAAUGCGCAGAUAUCAGGAGGAACACCGAUGGCGAAGGCAGGUCUCUGGGCCACUACUGACGCUGAGAAGCGAAAGCAUGGGGAGCAAACAGGAUUAGAUA
This 261-nucleotide ribosomal RNA is filed under the name uncultured prokaryote. RNAcentral's name for it is "partial 16S ribosomal RNA". It matches the Rfam family "Bacterial small subunit ribosomal RNA", at positions 524 to 784 of the family's 1533-position model. The record is from RNAcentral.